Coccinella septempunctata (seven-spotted ladybird) is the source of this 500-nucleotide long non-coding RNA. RefSeq lists it as uncharacterized. The transcript is spliced from 4 exons. The record is from RefSeq and is a predicted model, not a curated record. Lineage: Eukaryota; Metazoa; Arthropoda; Insecta; Coleoptera; Coccinellidae.
UGUAAUUUUUACUCUGAACCUAGAAGCCAGAUGGAGAUUGUAGAUAUCGAAGAAAAUCUAAACGCGCAACUCAAAAAGGAUUAUGAAGCUCAAAAAGAUGGUUUCGUGCAGGUCGGAGAACGGAAAUGGUUCUACCCCUGGUGAUAUAGAAAGACUGCAGAAGAAUUGAAAAAUUUCGAGGUUAGACCCGAUGAUAUAUGGAUCACAGGAUUUCCAAGAUCAGGUACUUCUCUCACGGAGGAAAUUGUAUGGCUACUUAGUCACGAUUUGGAUUUCGAUGAAGCGAGGGGAAUUGAAUUGUCAACACGUGUCGUGUCAAGUUUUUCGAAUUAGAUGUUGUCAUAAACGAAAAGAAGGAAAAAGAGACGAUUGAACAGUUUCCAGGAGAAGCAGCUAACUUCAUUCGACGAAGAAACAUUUUGAAUGCCUUAAGAGAAGAGAAAAGUAGGAGAGUCAUAAAGACUCAUUUACCAUUCGAACUAUUACCUGAUGACAUAUUC